RNAcentral lists this ribosomal RNA (450 nucleotides) under uncultured bacterium. RNAcentral's name for it is "partial 16S ribosomal RNA". It matches the Rfam family "Bacterial small subunit ribosomal RNA", at positions 354 to 796 of the family's 1533-position model. The record is from RNAcentral.
GUGGGGAAUCUUCCGCAAUGGACGAAAGUCUGACGGAGCAACGCCGCGUGAGUGAUGAAGGUCUUCGGAUUGUAAAGCUCUGUUAAUCGGGACGAAAGAGCCUAGUGUGAAUAAUGCUAGGAAGUGACGGUACCGGAAUAGAAAGCCACGGCUAACUACGUGCCAGCAGCCGCGGUAAUACGUAGGUGGCAAGCGUUGUCCGGAAUUAUCGGGCGUAAAGCGCGCGCAGGCGGAUCUGCCAGUCUGUCUUAAAAGUUCGGGGCUUAACCCCGUGAUGGGAUGGAAACUACAGAUCUAGAGUAUCGGAGAGGAAAGUGGAAUUCCUAGUGUAGCGGUGAAAUGCGUAGAUAUUAGGAAGAACACCAGUGGCGAAGGCGACUUUCUGGACGAAAACUGACGCUGAGGCGCGAAAGCCAGGGGAGCGAACGGGAUUAGAAACCCGAGUAGUCC